GCAAAUGCAAAGAACAGAAUACGGUUGCCAGAGAUCCAGUACUUCAGAGAGCCGUUGGCUGGUGUGAAACGGUGUAUGUCUAUGGUGAUUAUCCUCUGCGAGCAGUGCACUGAAUUUCUUCACGAUAAGUGAUGAACACUAGGUGUCACCGGUCUUCCACCGUUAAAAGGAAACUUAUUUCAAGAGCUGUGUUGGCACAGUUUCAGAGAUGAGGCAUGAGAGGUCAUUUAUUUUCAAAUGGCAAAUAAAGUGGUAUCGCGGAAGUUACAGGCUUUCGUCUUUAUG
This 285-nucleotide non-coding RNA is filed under the name Coprococcus sp. RNAcentral describes it as "T-box sequence". It matches the Rfam family "T-box leader". From Rfam's summary of the family: Uncharged tRNA acts as the effector for transcription antitermination of genes in the T-box leader family. T-boxes are found upstream of many aminoacyl-tRNA synthetase genes and some amino acid biosynthetic genes usually in Gram-positive bacteria. The anticodon of a specific tRNA base pairs to a specifier sequence within the T-box motif, and the NCCA acceptor tail of the tRNA base pairs to a conserved bulge in the T-box antiterminator hairpin. Lineage: Bacteria; Bacillati; Bacillota; Clostridia; Lachnospirales; Lachnospiraceae. The record is from RNAcentral.